Molecule: small RNA, 183 nt
Filed under: Mytilus galloprovincialis (Mediterranean mussel)
Lineage: Eukaryota; Metazoa; Mollusca; Bivalvia; Mytilida; Mytilidae
Source: RNAcentral
UUGAGAAAUCGGGAAAUAGGGAAAUCGAGAAAUGGGGAAAUCGAGAAAUUGAGAAAGCAAAAACGCGAAAACACGAAAGCGAAAACGCGAAAUGAAUUUCUCGAUUUCGCGUUUUUUCUUUCUCGAUUUUCCGAUUUCUCAAUUUCCCAAUUUCUCGAUUUCUCAAUUUCUCGAUUUCUCGAU